CCAUAGCCUAUCGAUUUAUAUUCAACAUAGCUUUUCAUUUAUCAAGAAGAGCACCUAAGUCUACCAAGUCAAGAGAUGGCAUUCAACAAUAUAAGGCACUUCACAUUCCAUCAUCUUCAUUCAUAAGUGUUAAGAGAGAACAUACUUUUAAUCACAAUACAAUAAUACUUUAUUCAAGAUCACCUUGGGAUCACAUGAACACAUUUAUAUUCACAACAUGAUUACCUUUACUUCAUUAGAUUCUCAUUCAAAUCUUUUACAUCAUAUUCACAUAUAUGAUAUCAUGUUAACGUGAUUACCUUUACUUCAUUAGAUUCUCAUUCAAAUCCUUUACAUCACAUUCACAUAUAUGAUAUCAUGUCAACACUUCAAUUCCUCAUAUAAUGCCUUCAAGGCCAUAAUCAUAAUACAUUCAAUAAGUAAACACCUCCACCAUAAGUGGAUCACACAUCAAUCUAUCACAAUUCUAUAUCAAUUCUACAUUAACAAUGAAGUUAGGACAACCUACCCUUUUCCAAAGCCAC
Molecule: long non-coding RNA, 524 nt
Filed under: Solanum tuberosum (potato)
Lineage: Eukaryota; Viridiplantae; Streptophyta; Magnoliopsida; Solanales; Solanaceae
Description: long non-coding RNA (STUB_LNC005086)
Source: RNAcentral